This 32-nucleotide transfer RNA is filed under the name Ramosomyia violiceps (violet-crowned hummingbird). Its description in RNAcentral is "partial tRNA-Leu". The record is from RNAcentral. Lineage: Eukaryota; Metazoa; Chordata; Aves; Apodiformes; Trochilidae.
AACUUUUAAAGGAUAACAGUCAAUCCAGUGGU